Molecule: ribosomal RNA, 529 nt
Filed under: uncultured microorganism
Description: bacterial SSU rRNA
Rfam family: Bacterial small subunit ribosomal RNA
Source: RNAcentral
GAGUUUGAUCUUGGCUCAGGAUGAACGCUGGCGGCGUGCCUAAUACAUGCAAGUCGAACGAACAGAUAAGGAGCUUGCUCCUUUGACGUUAGCGGCGGACGGGUGAGUAACACGUGGGUAACCUACCUAUAAGACUGGAAUAACUCCGGGAAACCGGGGCUAAUGCCGGAUAACAUGUUGAACCGCAUGGUUCUACAGUGAAAGACGGUCUUGCUGUCACUUAUAGAUGGACCCGCGCCGUAUUAGCUAGUUGGUGGGGUAACGGCCUACCAAGGCGACGAUACGUAGCCGACCUGAGAGGGUGAUCGGCCACACUGGAGCUGAGACACGGUCCAGACUCCUACGGGAGGCAGCAGUAGGGAAUCUUCCGCAAUGGGCGAAAGCCUGACGGAGCAACGCCGCGUGAGUGAUGAAGGUCUUCGGAUCGUAAAGCUCUGUUGUUAGGGAAGAACAAAUGUGUAAGUAACUGUGCAUAUCUUGACGGUACCUAACCAGAAAGCCACGGCUAACUACGUGCCAGCAGCCGCCG